Molecule: ribosomal RNA, 496 nt
Filed under: uncultured bacterium
Lineage: Bacteria
Description: partial 16S ribosomal RNA
Rfam family: Bacterial small subunit ribosomal RNA
Source: RNAcentral
GAUGAACGCUGGCGGCGUGCCUAAUACAUUCAAGUCGAGCGAACGGACGAGAAGCUUGCUUUUCUGAUGUUAGCGGCGGACGGGUGAGUAACACGUGGAUAACCUACCUAUAAGACUGGGAUAACUUCGGGAAACCGGAGCUAAUACCGGAUAAUAUUUUGAACCGCAUGGUUCAAAAGUGAAAGACGGUCUUGCUGUCACUUAUAGAUGGAUCCGCGCUGCAUUAGCUAGUUGGUAAGGUACGGCUUACCAAGGCAACGAUGCAUAGCCGACCUGAGAGGGUGAUCGGCCACACUGGAACUGAGACACGGUCCAGACUCCUACGGGAGGCAGCAGUAGGGAAUCUUCCGCAAUGGGCGAAAGCCUGACGGAGCAACGCCGCGUGAGUGAUGAAGGUCUUCGGAUCGUAAAACUCUGUUAUUAGGGAAGAACAUAUGUGUAAGUAACUGUGCACAUCUUGACGGUACCUAAUCAGAAAGCCACGGCUAACUACGUG